AGUGAACGCUGGCGGUAGGCCUAACACAUGCAAGUCGAACGGCAGCACAGUAAGAGCUUGCUCUUACGGGUGGCGAGUGGCGGACGGGUGAGGAAUACAUCGGAAUCUACUUUUUCGUGGGGGAUAACGUAGGGAAACUUACGCUAAUACCGCAUACGACCUACGGGGGAAAGCAGGGGAUCUUCGGACCUUGCGCGAUUGAAUGAGCCGAUGCCGGAUUAGUUAGUUGGCGGGGUAAAGGCCCACCAAGGCGACGAUCCGUUGCUGGUCUGAGAGGGUGAUCAGCCACCCUGGAACUGGGACACCGUCCCGGCUCCUACGGGAGGCCACAGUGGGGAAUAUUGGACAAUGGGGGGAAGCCUUAUCCAGCCAUGCCGCGUGGGGUGAGGAAGCCUUCCGGUUGGAAAGCCCUUUUUUUUGGAAAGAAAAGCAGCAGGUUAAUACCCCGCUGUUCUGACGGUACCCAAAGAAUAAGCACCGGCUAACUUCGUG
This 492-nucleotide ribosomal RNA is filed under the name uncultured bacterium. Its description in RNAcentral is "partial 16S ribosomal RNA". It matches the Rfam family "Bacterial small subunit ribosomal RNA", at positions 29 to 507 of the family's 1533-position model. The record is from RNAcentral.